UAACACGUAGGAGACGAGCGUUAUCCGGAUUUACUGGGUGUAAAGCGCGUGCAGGCGGUCGGGUAAGUUGGAUGUGAAAGCUCCUGGCUUAACUGGGAGAGGUCGUUCAAAACUGCCGGGCUAGAGUGCAACAGAGGGGAGUGGAAUUCCGAGUGUAGCGGUAAAAUGCAUAGAUAUUCGGAAGAACACCAGUGGCGAAGGCGGCUCUCUGGGUUGCAACUGACGCUCAGACGCGAAAGCUAGGGUAGCGAACGGGAUUAGAGACCCCGGUAGUCCUAGCCGUAAACGAUGUGGACUUGGCGUGGGUGGGUUGAAAUCCAUCUGUGCCGAAGCAAACGCGAUAAGUCCACCACCUGGGGACUACGGCCGCAAGGUUAAAACUCAAAUGAAUUGACGG
This 397-nucleotide ribosomal RNA is filed under the name uncultured bacterium. RNAcentral's name for it is "bacterial SSU rRNA". It matches the Rfam family "Bacterial small subunit ribosomal RNA", at positions 521 to 916 of the family's 1533-position model. The record is from RNAcentral.